UCAGUAACGCGUAGUCAACCUAACCUAUGGACGGGAAUAACCUCGGGAAACUGAGUAUAAUGCCCGAUAGAACACUAUACCUGGAAUGGUUUGUGUUCCAAAUGAUUUAUCGCCGUAGGAUGGGACUGCGGGCUAUCAAUUUGUUGGUGAGGUAAUGGCCCACCAAGACUAUUACUGGUACGGGCUCUGAGAGGAGUAGCCCGGAGAUGGGUACUGAGACACGGACCCAGGCCCUAUGGGGCGCAGCAGGCGAGAAAACUUUGCAAUGUGCGAAAGCACGACAAGGUUAAUCCGAGUGGUUUCUGCUAAAGGAACCUUUUGUUAGUCCUAGAAACACUAACGAAUAAGGGGUGGGCAAGUUCUGGUGUCAGCCGCCGCGGUAAAACCAGCACCUCACGUGGUCAGGAUGAUUAUUGGGCCUAAAGCAUCCGUAGCCGGCUCUGUAAGUUUUCGGUUAAAUCUGUACGCUCAACGUACAGGCUGCCGGGAAUACUGCAGAGCUAGGGAGUGGGAGAGGUAGACGGUACUCGGGAGGAAGUGGUAAAAUGCUGUUGAUCUCUCGAUGACCACCUGUGGCGAAGGCGGUCUACCACAGCACGUCCGACGAUGAGGGAUGAAAGCUGCUGGAGCAAACAGCAUUAUAUACCCGGGUAGUCCCAGCUGUAGACUAUGUAGACUCAGUGAUGCAUUGUCUUGUGGCCAAUGCAGUAUUGCAGGGAAGCCGUUAA
Molecule: ribosomal RNA, 728 nt
Filed under: uncultured marine group I thaumarchaeote
Lineage: Archaea; Thermoproteati; Nitrososphaerota
Description: bacterial SSU rRNA
Rfam family: Archaeal small subunit ribosomal RNA
Source: RNAcentral